CUACGGGUGGCUCCAGUGGGGAAUAUUGCACAAUGGAGGAAACUCUGAUGCAGCAACGCCGCGUGGAGGAUGACACUUUUCGGAGCGUAAACUCCUUUUAUAUAGGAAGAUAAUGACGGUACUAUAUGAAUAAGCACCGGCUAACUCCGUGCCAGCAGCCGCGGUAAUACGGAGGGUGCAAGCGUUACUCGGAAUCACUGGGCGUAAAGAGCGUGUAGGCGGGUUAAUAAGUCAGAAGUGAAAUCCUAUGGCUCAACCAUAGAACUGCUUUUGGAACUGUUAACCUAGAAUAUGGGAGAGGUAGAUGGAAUUUCUGGUGUAGGGGUAAAAUCCGUAGAGAUCAGAAGGAAUACCGAUUGCGAAGGCGAUCUACUGGAACAUUAUUGACGCUGAGACGCGAAAGCGUGGGGAGCAAACAGGAUUAGAUACCCCAGUGUC
RNAcentral lists this ribosomal RNA (438 nucleotides) under uncultured bacterium. Its description in RNAcentral is "partial 16S ribosomal RNA". It matches the Rfam family "Bacterial small subunit ribosomal RNA", at positions 339 to 795 of the family's 1533-position model. The record is from RNAcentral.